Molecule: ribosomal RNA, 887 nt
Filed under: uncultured bacterium
Lineage: Bacteria
Description: bacterial SSU rRNA
Rfam family: Bacterial small subunit ribosomal RNA
Source: RNAcentral
AACGCUGGCGGCGUGCCUAACACAUGCAAGUCGAACGGAACUGUUUUGAAAGAUUUCUUCGGAAUGAAUUUGAUUUAGUUUAGUGGCGGACGGGUGAGUAACGCGUGAGUAACCUGCCUUCAAGAGGGGGAUAACAUUCUGAAAAGAAUGCUAAUACCGCAUGACAUAUCGGAACCACAUGAUUUUGAUAUCAAAGAUUUUAUCGCUUGAAGAUGGACUCGCGUCCGAUUAGUUAGUUGGUGAGGUAACGGCUCACCAAGACCGCGAUCGGUAGCCGGACUGAGAGGUUGAACGGCCACAUUGGGACUGAGACACGGCCCAGACUCCUACGGGAGGCAGCAGUGGGGGAUAUUGCGCAAUGGGGGCAACCCUGACGCAGCAACGCCGCGUGAAGGAUGAAGGUUUUCGGAUUGUAAACUUCUUUUAUUAAGGACGAAAAAUGACGGUACUUAAUGAAUAAGCUCCGGCUAACUACGUGCCAGCAGCCGCGGUAAUACGUAGGGAGCAAGCGUUGUCCGGAUUUACUGGGUGUAAAGGGUGCGUAGGCGGCUUUGCAAGUCAGAUGUGAAAUCUAUGGGCUCAACCCAUAAACUGCAUUUGAAACUGUAGAGCUUGAGUGAAGUAGAGGCAGGCGGAAUUCCCCGUGUAGCGGUGAAAUGCGUAGAGAUGGGGAGGAACACCAGUGGCGAAGGCGGCCUGCUGGGCUUUAACUGACGCUGAGGCACGAAAGCGUGGGUAGCAAACAGGAUUAGAUACCCUGGUAGUCCACGCUGUAAACGAUGAUUACUAGGUGUGGGGGGUCUGACCCCUUCCGUGCCGGAGUUAACACAAUAAGUAAUCCACCUGGGGAGUACGGCCGCAAGGUUGCAACUCAAAGGAAUUGACGG